This is a non-coding RNA of Pelobates cultripes (western spadefoot toad), 203 nucleotides long. NCBI's taxonomy places the organism in Eukaryota, Metazoa, Chordata, Amphibia, Anura, Pelobatidae. The record is from the annotation of a GenBank genome assembly.
CGAUCAUGUCGCGGAGACACCCGAAUUCGUUCAGGUGAUGACCACUUUCAUGUCUCGAGGUGGCUGCGACCCCCGCAAAGGUGUGGAGAAAGGUUUCAGAGGGGUACAAAACAAACUACUGGAUUCCGUGGGAUCACUAUCCAGGAUAAUGUACAUGGCUGACGAUGCCCUUGCUAGAGCCGAUCAGUUUGACGCCACCAUGG